Molecule: long non-coding RNA, 1206 nt
Filed under: Monodelphis domestica (gray short-tailed opossum)
Lineage: Eukaryota; Metazoa; Chordata; Mammalia; Didelphimorphia; Didelphidae
Description: lncRNA (ENSMODG00000029451.2)
Source: RNAcentral
AUUUCAACAACAGCAGUUUGACAACACAGCUUUUCCUCCCUGCUCCCUACAUAAUGCACUUUCUAUGGCUGCAUGGAUCAGUGGAUGUGGAGUCUGGAAGCUUAGCUUUGAGUCCCAGAUCUCCAGCUUAGUAUCUUUGUGACCUUUGGCAAGUCUCUAAGUUUCUCAAAUCCUCAGUUCACUCAUCUGUCAACAAGGAAUAAGAGUAGGGUGUUUCUGAGUAUAAAUAAGAUAAAAGAUGUAAAGAAACUGCUUUGUAAACAUCAAAGAGCUAUAUAAAUUUUAGUUGUUCCUGCCUGUAAAACUGGAGUGGAGGUCUGGUGUUUGGAUAAGAUGACCUCUGAAGCUCUUCUUAUAUCUACAUAUAGGAUCCUGUGAUCCUAAAAAGAGCACUGAAAUUAAGAAAGAAGUGUAGCACAGUGGAAAGAGCAUGGGCAGUUAGAACAAGACAAAGAGAUAAGGGAAGCAUGCUCCAGCUGUUGAUUCUACUACCCUGAAUGGAAAGCUUGAUUAAUUUAUACACUUUAAAAGAUGAAUUGUUUUUUCCUAUUGCAUGUAAAAAUAAUGUCUUUAACAUUCAUCUUCUUAAAGUUUCAAGUUCUAAAUUCUCUUCUUUCUUCUGACCCUACUUCUCUCCUCCUUGCCCUUCUCUGUCCCUAAGAUGGUAAGCAAUCUGAUAUAGAUUUUCCAUGUACAAUCAUGGAAAACAUUUUUCAAAAUUAAUCAUUUUGUGGAUGAAAUCCAAAAUGGAGGAGAAGGACAAAGAGGAGAGGGGGAGAGGGAAGGGAGGAGGAGGAAGGGAAUAAUGAAAAUGAAGAAGAAGAAGAAGAAGAAGAAGAAGAAGAAGAAGAAGAAGAAGAAGAAGAAGAAGAAGAAGAAGAAGAAGAAGAAGAAGAAGAAGAAGAAGAAGAAGAAGAAGAAGAAGAAGAAGAAGAAGAAGAAGAAGAAGAUGGAGGAGGAGGAGGAGGAAUGAAGGAAGGAAGGAAAAAUGAAAUAUAUUUCAGUCUGCGUUCAGACUCAAUUAGUUCUUUCUUACUGGUAUUAUCUUGGAUCAUAGCAUUGCUGAGAAAAAAUAUUGCUAUCACUGUGUACAAAGUUUUUUCUGGUUUUGCUCACCUCAGUUUUCAUUAGUUCAUUUAAGUCUUUACAGAUUUUUCUUUUAUUAAUUAAUUAUUAUUUUUUUUUAUUUAUUGAGUCAAUUUAGAA